UACGUAGGGUGCAAGCGUUAAUCGGAAUUACUGGGCGUAAAGCGUGCGCAGGCGGUUUUGUAAGUCUGUCGUGAAAUCCCCGGGCUCAACCUGGGAAUUGCGAUGGAGACUGCAAGGCUAGAAUCUGGCAGAGGGGGGUAGAAUUCCACGUGUAGCAGUGAAAUGCGUAGAGAUCGGGAGGAACACCAGUGGCGAAGGCGACUACCUGGACCAGCACUGACACUGAGGCACGAAAGCGUGGGGAGCAAACAGG
RNAcentral lists this ribosomal RNA (253 nucleotides) under uncultured bacterium. Its description in RNAcentral is "partial 16S ribosomal RNA". It matches the Rfam family "Bacterial small subunit ribosomal RNA", at positions 524 to 776 of the family's 1533-position model. The record is from RNAcentral.